Molecule: ribosomal RNA, 499 nt
Filed under: uncultured bacterium
Lineage: Bacteria
Description: bacterial SSU rRNA
Rfam family: Bacterial small subunit ribosomal RNA
Source: RNAcentral
ACGAACGCUGGCGGCGUGCCUAAUACAUGCAAGUCGAGCGGAAUGAUGAAGAAGCUUGCUUCUUCUGAUUUUAGCGGCGGACGGGUGAGUAACACGUGGGCAACCUACCUUGUAGAUUGGGAUAACUCCGGGAAACCGGGGCUAAUACCGAAUAAUCCAUUUUGCUUCAUGGCGAGAUGUUGAAAGACGGUUUCGGCUGUCACUAUAAGAUGGGCCCGCGGCGCAUUAGCUAGUUGGUAGGGUAAUGGCCUACCAAGGCGACGAUGCGUAGCCGACCUGAGAGGGUGAUCGGCCACACUGGGACUGAGACACGGCCCAGACUCCUACGGGAGGCAGCAGUAGGGAAUCUUCCACAAUGGACGAAAGUCUGAUGGAGCAACGCCGCGUGAGUGAAGAAGGUUUUCGGAUCGUAAAACUCUGUUGUAUGGGAAGAACACGUACGAGAGUAACUGCUCGUACCUUGACGGUACCUUAUUAGAAAGCCACGGCUAACUACGUG